Molecule: ribosomal RNA, 1395 nt
Filed under: Ingerophrynus divergens
Lineage: Eukaryota; Metazoa; Chordata; Amphibia; Anura; Bufonidae
Description: partial 16S ribosomal RNA
Rfam family: Bacterial large subunit ribosomal RNA
Source: RNAcentral
GCUAAAAACCUAGCCCAACCAGACAUGAAUUUCACUUAGUCAACUAAAACCCCUUAAUAAAUCAUUUUAACACUUUAGUAAAGGAGAUUGAAAAAUUCUUUGGAGCUAUAACAAUAGUACCGCAAGGGAAAGGUGAAAUAUUUAAUGAAAAAUUUUUAAGCACAAAAAAGUAAAGACUCCACCUUGUACCUUUUGCAUCAUGGUUUAACUAGUCUAACCAGGCAAAACGUAUUUCAGUUUGGCUCCCCGAAACUAAGUGAGCUACUUCAGGGCAGCUAAUAGAGCAAACCCGUCCCUGUAGCAAAAGAGUGGGAUGACCCUUAAGUAGCGGUGACAGACCUAACGAACUUAGUGAUAGCUGGUUACUCAAAAAACGGAUCUAAGUCCAACCUGAAACUUAAUAUAGUUUAUCAAAACAACCACCUACUUUCAGCGUAAUUCAAAUAAGGUACAGCCUAUUUGAAACAGGAUACAACCUAAACUUAUGGAUAAGACCAGCCGAAUAAACAACCAAGUGGGCCUAAAAGCAGCCAUCUUUAAAAUUGCGUCAAAGCUUAAUUGUUUAUGCGCUAAAUUACUUCAUUAUAAUUCCAAUCCUACCCUAAUAUUGAGUAAUUCUAUAAGAUUAUAGAAAAUUUUAUGUUAAAACUAGUAACAAGAAGUAGACCCUUCUCUUAAAUGUAAAUGUAAAUCAGAAAGGACAAACCACUGAUAUUUAACAUUCUUGAACCCAAAACAGCAACCAACCAAGAAAACUCUGUUUUAAUCCCUGUUAACCUUACACAAGAACAUUUUAAGAAAGAUUAAAAGAAAAAGAAGGAACUCGGCAAAUGUUAACCCCGCCUGUUUACCAAAAACAUCGCCUCUUGAAUCUUUAUAAGAGGUCCAGCCUGCCCAGUGACUUUGUUCAACGGCCGCGGUAUCCUAACCGUGCGAAGGUAGCGUAAUCACUUGUUCUUUAAAUGAGGACUAGUAUGAACGGCACCACGAGGGUUAUGCUGUCUCCCUUUUCUAAUCAGUUAAACUAAUCUCCCCGUGAAGAAGCGAGGAUAAGCAUAUAAGACGAGAAGACCCUAUGGAGCUUUAAACAAUAUAGCAUUUAUCAUAAAAAUUCUGACUUGCGAGUCCAUUCUACAACAGAUUAUUUGACUAUAAGUUUUUGGUUGGGGUGACCGCGGAACAUAACAUAACCUCCACGUUGCAAGAAUUUACUUCUAAACUAAGAACCACAGCUCUAAGAAUCAAUACCUUGACAUCAAUUGACCCAAUACAUUUGAUCAACGAACCAAGUUACCCUAGGGAUAACAGCGCAAUCCACUUCAAGAGCCCCUAUCGACAAGUGGGUUUACGACCUCGAUGUUGGAUCAGGGUUUCCCAGUGGUGCAGCCGCUAUCA